RNAcentral lists this ribosomal RNA (787 nucleotides) under Streptococcus constellatus. RNAcentral describes it as "bacterial SSU rRNA". It matches the Rfam family "Bacterial small subunit ribosomal RNA", at positions 675 to 1463 of the family's 1533-position model. The record is from RNAcentral. Lineage: Bacteria; Bacillati; Bacillota; Bacilli; Lactobacillales; Streptococcaceae.
GUAGCGGUGAAAUGCGUAGAAAUAUGGAGGACACGGUGGCGAAAGCGGCUCUCUGGUCUGUAACUGACGCUGAGGCUCGAAAGCGUGGGGAGCGAACAGGAUUAGAUACCUGGUAGUCCACGCCGUAAACGAUGAGUGCUAGGUGUUAGGUCCUUUCCGGGACUUAGUGCCGCAGCUAACGCAUUAAGCACUCCGCCUGGGGAGUACGACCGCAAGGUUGAAACUCAAAGGAAUUGACGGGGGCCCGCACAAGCGGUGGAGCAUGUGGUUUAAUUCGAAGCAACGCGAAGAACCUUACCAGGUCUUGACAUCCCAGUGACUGCCCUAGAGAUAGGGUUUCCCUUCGGGGCACUGGUGACAGGUGGUGCAUGGUUGUCGUCAGCUCGUGUCGUGAGAUGUUGGGUUAAGUCCCGCAACGAGCGCAACCCUUAUUGUUAGUUGCCAUCAUUGAGUUGGGCACUCUAGCGAGACUGCCGGUAAUAAACCGGAGGAAGGUGGGGAUGACGUCAAAUCAUCAUGCCCCUUAUGACCUGGGCUACACACGUGCUACAAUGGCUGGUACAACGAGUCGCAAGCCGGUGACGGCAAGCUAAUCUCUGAAAGCCAGUCUCAGUUCGGAUUGUAGGCUGCAACUCGCCUACAUGAAGUCGGAAUCGCUAGUAAUCGCGGAUCAGCACGCCGCGGUGAAUACGUUCCCGGGCCUUGUACACACCGCCCGUCACACCACGAGAGUUUGUAACACCCGAAGUCGGUGAGGUAACCGUAAGGAGCCAGCCGCUCUAAAGGG